CAAGUCGCGCGAGAAAAGGGGGGCAACUCCCUGAGUAAAGCGGCGAACGGGUGAGUAACACGUAGGUAACCUACCCUCGAGUCCAGGAUAACCUACCGAAAGGUGGGCUAAUACCGGAUAUGACCACGGAGGUUUCGGCUUCUGCGGUGAAAGGUGGCCUCUGCUUGCAAGCUACCGCUCGUUGAUGGGCCUGCGCGCCAUUAGCUAGUUGGUGAGGUAACGGCUCACCAAGGCGAUGAUGGCUAGCUGGUCUGAGAGGAUGGCCAGCCACACUGGGACUGAAACACGGCCCAGACUCCUACGGGAGGCAGCAGUGGGGGAUAUUGCGCAAUGGGCGAAAGCCUGACGCAGCGACGCCGCGUGGGUGAUGAAGGCCUUCGGGUCGUAAAGCCCUGUCGAGGGGAAAGAAACGGUUCCGACCCAACACGUCGGGACCCUGACGGUACCCCUAAAGGAAGCACCGGCUAACUCCGUGCCAGCAGCCGCGGUAAUACGGAGGGUGCGAGCGUUGUUCGGAAUCACUGGGCGUAAAGGGCGUGUAGGCGGUCCGCUAAGUCUGAUGUGAAAGCCCGGGGCUCACCCCCGGAAGUGCAUUGGAAACUGGCGGACUCGAGUCCCGGAGAGGAGAGUGGAAUUCCUGGUGUAGCGGUGAAAUGCGUAGAUAUCAGGAGGAACACCGGUGGCGAAGGCGGCUCUCUGGACGGUGACUGACGCUGAGACGCGAAAGCGUGGGGAGCAAACAGGAUUAGAUACCCUGGUAGUCCACGCUGUAAACGAUGAGCACUAGGUGUCGUGGGUAUUGACCCCCGCGGUGCCGCAGCUAACGCAUU
RNAcentral lists this ribosomal RNA (830 nucleotides) under uncultured Pseudomonadota bacterium. Its description in RNAcentral is "bacterial SSU rRNA". It matches the Rfam family "Bacterial small subunit ribosomal RNA", at positions 58 to 861 of the family's 1533-position model. The record is from RNAcentral. Lineage: Bacteria; Pseudomonadati; Pseudomonadota.